Long non-coding RNA from Schistocerca serialis cubense, 389 nucleotides. RefSeq lists it as uncharacterized. NCBI's taxonomy places the organism in Eukaryota, Metazoa, Arthropoda, Insecta, Orthoptera, Acrididae. The record is from RefSeq and is a predicted model, not a curated record. The transcript is spliced from 5 exons.
GCCAGACUCCAGCGGCGGUGGCGGCAGUAGAGCGGCGACCGACGCUCCAGGCAGACGCAGGCGACGCAGGGUGUUUCGUGGAUUUCAUGUGGCAUCUUCCAUGAUUACAAAAUUGGCGUAAGGCAAUAACUGCUGAAGAUUGAAGUUGUUCUACGCACGCAGGAAACCUCAAGACGCCAACACCCUCACGUUUACUGAUUCGAGCCAGCUCCACGCAAGUCUAGAGUGAUCGGACUUGAGCACACCGGCAUCCAACUUCAGCUGCAGUGGAGGAGAAGAUUAGCUGUAGCGACUGGUAAACAGCUUUCGCAACGACACGGCGAAGCCAGCCGAGAGACUAUACCGAGCUAGGCCGCACUGGUCUAAACACCCCACGGCUCCGAUAAAGG